AACGAACGCUGGCGGCAUGCCUAACACAUGCAAGUCGAACGAGACCUUCGGGUCUAGUGGCGCACGGGUGCGUAACGCGUGGGAACCUGCCCUUAGGUUCGGAAUAACUCCCCGAAAGGGGUGCUAAUACCGGAUAAUGUCUUCGGACCAAAGAUUUAUCGCCUUUGGAUGGGCCCGCGUUGGAUUAGCUAGUUGGUAGGGUAAAAGCCUACCAAGGCGUCGAUCCAUAGCUGGUCAGCGAGGAUGAUCAGCCACACUGGGACUAGGACACGGCCCGGAAUCCUACGGGAGGAGGCAGUGGGGAAUAUAGGACAGUGGGCGGAAGGCUGAUGCAGCAAUGCCGCGUGAGUGAUGAAGGCCUUAGGGUUGUAAAGCUCUUUUACCCGGGAUGAUAAUGACAGUACCGGGAGAAUAAGCUCCGGCUAACUCCGUG
RNAcentral lists this ribosomal RNA (433 nucleotides) under uncultured bacterium. RNAcentral describes it as "partial 16S ribosomal RNA". It matches the Rfam family "Bacterial small subunit ribosomal RNA", at positions 29 to 507 of the family's 1533-position model. The record is from RNAcentral.